AAUAAGUCAACUUUUCAAUUUUUAGAUACAAUGUUUAACUCUUCGUUUUAUUUAAAUUUUUUUACUAUUAAUAAUUUUAUUUUUAUUAGAUGAUAAAACAUAAAUAGUAUUUUAUGUGUGACUAAUUUUUUUAAAAAAAAUCUUGAAAAUUUUUUAAAUAAGAUGAAUGGUUAAACGCUCGACAUAAAAACC
RNAcentral lists this microRNA precursor (192 nucleotides) under Oryza brachyantha (malo sina). Its description in RNAcentral is "MIR812 microRNA precursor family". It matches the Rfam family "MIR812 microRNA precursor family". Lineage: Eukaryota; Viridiplantae; Streptophyta; Magnoliopsida; Poales; Poaceae. The record is from Rfam by way of RNAcentral.